UUCUUAUCAAGAGUAGGUGGAGGGACUAGCCCAAUGACACCCGGCAACCGACAAACCUUUGUAAUCCAAAGGGGAGCACGGUGCUAAUUCUUGCGGAAACGCUGUUUACAGCGAAUCUGGGAGAUAAGAG
Molecule: non-coding RNA, 130 nt
Filed under: Paenibacillus pectinilyticus
Lineage: Bacteria; Bacillati; Bacillota; Bacilli; Caryophanales; Paenibacillaceae
Description: SAM-I sequence
Rfam family: SAM riboswitch aptamer (S box leader)
About the family: The SAM riboswitch is found upstream of a number of genes which code for proteins involved in methionine or cysteine biosynthesis in Gram-positive bacteria. The SAM riboswitch acts at the level of transcription termination control.
Source: Rfam by way of RNAcentral